UUUGCUUGCUGAUUGUUGUUUGAAGUAUGAAUCACUAUACAGAGUGUGACAUAAACUUUUCUAGAACUUCAAAUUUAACAUCACAUAAAAAAGUGAAAGAUAAGAAAGAAAACGAUAAGAAAACAUAAGAAAGUAAAAAGGAAACAUCCAGGUAAAAAUUAUAUUUAGUUCUAAUAAAUGUGUAAUUUAUACUUAAUACAAUAAAUUAUUUAGAUAUGCUUCAUGUGCUGCUACCAAAAAAAGUUCAAAAAACUCAAUCUUCUGUGCUUUGCUUAGAAUGUAAUAAGAACUUUACAAGUCUGGGCAAUCUUAGGCUCCAUCUAAAAAGGCAGCAUGCAGAUAAAUUGGACGAAAUAGCUCCUAUAAAGAAGAAAACUUAUAUAUGUCCCUACUACAGAGAGCAUUUUCCAACUUUAAAAAUCUUUGUCUGUCAUAAAAAAACCCAUAAAAUUCUAAAGGAAUUAAAGUGCCCAUUAUGUCCAUAUACUGGUUCUGAUCGAGCAAAAUUAAUAUUACACUAUAUGGGAGUGAUCAUUUUUUCAAUAUUGAAAGUGAAUGUAUUAAAUUUGAUACAUUUGAGGAUUUUCAAUCUUGGAAAUGGAAAGUGGAGGAAAAAUCAUAUUCAUCAUUUGUGAAAAUGUAUGGUUCAAAAAAAGCCACUGAUUACACCACAUCAAACUAUAAUUGUCAUAGGUCGGGUACCUUUAAGAAAAAGGGGAAGAACAUGAGAAAUCUUAAUACGCAAGGAGCAAAUAAAAUUGAAGGAUAUUGUCCUGCAAGAAUGAGUGUUAAAAUAAUGAAAGAUAAAAAAUGUGUAGUUAACUUCUGUAAGAGCCAUAUAGGCCAUAAACAACAACAAGAUAUAGGUCACCUGUUCCUAUCAAAAUUGCAAAAGCAAGAUUUGGCAGCAAAGAUAGCCGCAAAAAUUCCAUUUCAAGUAAGAGACUCCGUGUCUAAUUCUCAUUUAGAGCGUAUCCACUUGCUCACAAAAAAGGACCUUUACAAUCUUGAGCAGUGUUUUAAUUUGAGUGGCUCGUCAGUACGACAUGCAAAUGAUGCAAUAAGUGUCGAUGCAUGGGUCAGUGAGAUGAAAAGUUCAGGAUGUGCUUUUCUAUAAACCACAGGACACUUUAUGUGAAGAGUAUCCUGAACUAAAAUAUGAGGACAUUUUUUUAAUUAUAAUGACAGAUGGACAAAAGGAUCUCUUACUACGAUUUGGGGAAGAUUGUAUUUGUAUAGAUGGAACGCACGGACUAAAUGCUUAUGGAUUUGAGUUGCACACCAUCCUUGUCUUGGAUGAUUUGCGAGAGGGAUAUCCUACAGCAUUUUUUAUUUCUAAUCGUAGCGACACGAUAGGCAUGCCUAUUUUUUUCCAAUGUGUCAAAGAAAGAACUGGAAAGUGCAUUAAACCUAAAGUCUUUAUGUCAGACAUGGCCGAUGUGUACUAUAAAUCAUGGAUGCAGGUUAUGCAGCCCGCUGAAUUUAGAUUAUUUUGCACUUGGCAUAUAUACAAGGCAUGGAGGAAGAAUUUGGAAAAAGUUACCAAUAAAGAAAAAAAAAUUAGUAUUUUAAAACAUGAUUCAGGUGUAUCAUAUGCUUAGGACAUUAUUACAGGAAACUGAUGUAUCUGCUUUUAAUAAAUUAGUUUCCAAGUUUCUUGAAUAUUGUAAAGCAGACAAAGAUAGUUUGGAAUUUGGGAUGUAUUUUGAACAAUAUUAUGCAUGCAAAUCCGAGCAAUGGGCAUAUUGUUUUAGGUUAUAUUCUGGCCUAAAUACUAAUAUGCACAUCGAGAGAAUGCACCGAACGAUAAAACAUAUUUAGAUAUUUAGAUAAGGCAAUAGGUGCUAUAAUGAAAUUUGUCAAAGAUAAAUUAUUUGAAAGACUUAUUGUACUGCAUAAAGGAAAGGUCUCAACCAAAACCAGUGAAUUAAGAAAAAGGCAUAAUACUAGUCAAUCCCUUGAUUUAAAUAGAGUGGUUAAAACUGAUAUUGGUUGGGUGGUGCCCUCUAGUUCAAGCAACGAAAUGCACCAUUGAGGAGGUGAAAGACAGCUGUCCAUGUAAAUUGGUGUGUGAAGAAUGUCAAGCUUGUUUACACCGUUUUACUUGCACAUGCUUAGAUUCAUGUAUAAAAUGGAACAUGUGCAAGCAUAUCCACUUAGUUUGUAAAUACACCCAACUACAUUCAAAUAAUGACAACACCAUCAAAAACGCAGAAAA
This 2218-nucleotide long non-coding RNA is filed under the name Anthonomus grandis grandis. RNAcentral describes it as "uncharacterized LOC126743793". Lineage: Eukaryota; Metazoa; Arthropoda; Insecta; Coleoptera; Curculionidae. The record is from RNAcentral.